GGUGGCUCAGUGGUAGAGUGCUUGCCUUGCAUGCAGGAGGCCCUCAGUUCGAUUCCUCAGCACCA
This 65-nucleotide transfer RNA is filed under the name Dipodomys ordii (Ord's kangaroo rat). It matches the Rfam family "tRNA". Rfam says of the family: Transfer RNA (tRNA) molecules are approximately 80 nucleotides in length. Their secondary structure includes four short double-helical elements and three loops (D, anti-codon, and T loops). Lineage: Eukaryota; Metazoa; Chordata; Mammalia; Rodentia; Heteromyidae. The record is from Rfam by way of RNAcentral.